UCCCCAAAUGGAGAAUCGAGAAGAAACUGCAUCUCUUGUUUUCCCUUGAAUACACUUGCUAUGUUAGAAAUGUACUCCGGUUUAGAGUACGCGUUCAUCUUCGUCUUGACAGGGUACCGGUCUAGAGCAAAGAGUCUUUGUGGUAACUCUUCAACCAUAAGAUCUUCAGUCGGAGCAACACUUG
RNAcentral lists this small RNA (184 nucleotides) under Arabidopsis thaliana (thale cress). RNAcentral's name for it is "ATSL162270". The record is from RNAcentral. Lineage: Eukaryota; Viridiplantae; Streptophyta; Magnoliopsida; Brassicales; Brassicaceae.